AUGAAGAAAAGAUCACACUGUUCCUAUUUGGAAUUAGAAAAGUUAACGUUAGGAGAGAAAACAGAUUUCAUAGAAGAGUUAGAGAAUAACUGUGUUUUCAUCACACAUGAAUAUAAGCUAGUCGUUCUUGGCUCAGGAGGUGUUGGGAAGUCGGCUCUGACUGUACAGUUUGUUCAAGAAAUUUCUGUUGAAAAAUAUGAUCCUACGAUCGAAGAUUCUUAUAGAAAGCAAGCUGAAGUAGAUGCACAGCAGUGCAUGCUUGAAAUCUUGAACACUGCAGGGAUGGAACAAUUUACAGCAAUGAGAGAUUUGUACAUGAAAAAUGGACAAAGCUUUGUUUUAGUUUAUUCCAUCACAGCACAGUCCAUAUUUAAUGAUUUACAAGAUCUGAGAGAACAGAUUCUUCAGGUUAAAGACACUGAUGAUUUUCCAAUGAUUUGGAAGAUGAAAGAGUUGUAGGAAAGGAACAAGGUCAAAAUCUAGCAAGACAAUGGAACAACUGUGCAUUCUUAGAAUCUUCUACAGAAUCAAAAAUAAAUGUUAAUGAGAUCUUUUAUGACCCAGUGUGGCAAAUUAACAGAAAAACCCCAGUGCCUGGGAAGGCCUGCAAAAAGUCGUCAUGUCAGCUGUUUUAA
Nannospalax galili (Upper Galilee mountains blind mole rat) is the source of this 635-nucleotide RNA transcript. It is a transcript of the gene named ras-related protein Rap-1b pseudogene, with no coding region annotated. The transcript has 2 exons. NCBI's taxonomy places the organism in Eukaryota, Metazoa, Chordata, Mammalia, Rodentia, Spalacidae. The record is from RefSeq and is a predicted model, not a curated record.